GACGAACGCUGGCGGCGUGCUUAACACAUGCAAGUCGUACGGUAAGGCCCUUUCUGGGGUACACGUUUGGCGUACGCGUGUGUAACACGUGUGUAACCUGCCCACAUCUUUUGGCUAACGCUAGGAUACUAGUCCUAAUACUUGAUUUGUGCUCCUGCUGCAUGUUGGGGGUUGUUAAGCUCCUGCGGUUGUGGAUGGACUCGCUGGCUAUCUGCUUGUUGGUGUGUUAGUGGCCUACCAAGGCGGCGACGGGUAGCCGGCCUGAGAGGGUGACCGGCGACAUGGGGACGGAGAGACGGCCCAGAAGCAUACGGGAGGCAGCAGGGGGGAAUAGAGGACAAAGGGAGCAAGCCUGAGGGAGCAACGCCGCGAGCGGGAUGACGGCCUUCGGGUUGUAAACAGCAUGCAGCAGGGACGAAGCGUUGGGGGACGGAACGUGAAGAAGAAGAACGGGCAAACAACGG
This 464-nucleotide ribosomal RNA is filed under the name uncultured bacterium. RNAcentral's name for it is "partial 16S ribosomal RNA". It matches the Rfam family "Bacterial small subunit ribosomal RNA", at positions 28 to 506 of the family's 1533-position model. The record is from RNAcentral.